AUACGUAGGUGACAAGCGUUAUCCGGAUUUACUGGGUGUAAAGGGAGCGCAGGCGGGCGUGCAAGUCAGCUGUGAAAUCCAUGGGCUUAACCCGUGGGCUGCAGUUGAAACUGUAUGUCUUGAGUGAAGUAGAGGUAGGCGGAAUUCCGAGUGUAGCGGUAAAAUGCGUAGAUAUUCGGAGGAACACCGGUGGCGAAGGCGGCCUACUGGGCUUUAACUGACGCUGAGGCUCGAAAGUGUGGGGAGCAAACAGGAUUAGAUACCCUGGUAGUCCACACUGUAAACGAUGAUUGCUAGGUGUGGGGGGUCUGACCCCUUCCGUGCCGCAGUUAACGCAAUAAGCAAUCCACCUGGGGAGUACGGCCGCAAGGCUAAAACUCAAAGGAAUUGACGGGG
Molecule: ribosomal RNA, 396 nt
Filed under: uncultured bacterium
Lineage: Bacteria
Description: partial 16S ribosomal RNA
Rfam family: Bacterial small subunit ribosomal RNA
Source: RNAcentral